UACAGAGGUCCCGAGCGUUGUUCGGAUUCAUUGGGCGUAAAGGGUGCGUAGGCGGCGGGGUAAGUCUGAUGUGAAAUCCUGGGGCUCAACCCUGGAACUGCAUUGGAUACUGCCUUGCUAGAGAACUGGAGAGGAGACUGGAAUUUACGGUGUAGCAGUGAAAUGCGUAGAGAUCGUAAGGAAGACCAGUGGCGAAGGCGAGUCUCUGGACAGUUACUGACGCUGAGGCACGAAGGCCAGGGGAGCAAACGGG
This 253-nucleotide ribosomal RNA is filed under the name Verrucomicrobiota bacterium. RNAcentral's name for it is "partial 16S ribosomal RNA". It matches the Rfam family "Bacterial small subunit ribosomal RNA", at positions 524 to 776 of the family's 1533-position model. The record is from RNAcentral. Lineage: Bacteria; Pseudomonadati; Verrucomicrobiota. RNAcentral also lists the same sequence under 1 other name.